Molecule: ribosomal RNA, 289 nt
Filed under: uncultured Desulfocapsa sp.
Lineage: Bacteria; Pseudomonadati; Thermodesulfobacteriota; Desulfobulbia; Desulfobulbales; Desulfocapsaceae
Description: partial 16S ribosomal RNA
Rfam family: Bacterial small subunit ribosomal RNA
Source: RNAcentral
CGAGCGCAACCCUAUCUUAGUUGCCAUCAUUGAGUUAGGCACUCUAAAGAGACUGACCGGUGGUCAAACCGGAGGAAGGUGGGGAUGACGUCAAGUCCUCAUUGGCCUUUAUGACCAGGGCUACACACGUACUACAAUGGCCGGUACAAAGGGCAGCGACACAGCGAUGUGAAGCGAAUCCCGAAAAGCCGGUCUCAGUCCGGAUUGGAGUCUGCAACUCGACUCCAUGAAGUUGGAAUCGCUAGUAAUCGCGGAUCAGCACGCCGCGGUGAAUACGUUCCCGGGCCUU